AAACCAAGAAGAUUAAGUCAUGCAUUAUUUCGGUUAAAAGACAGUUAGGCAUAACAAAGCUUGUUGAAUUUUUAUCUAGAAGUAAAAUUCGUAAAUAAUAUAGAAAUUUAGUUGCUGCUACAAAGCUGAAGCUGUGAUGUCCUUGAGGGAAACUGGGAUUAGAUACCCCACUAUUCUUGGUAGUAAAUAAAUGACAUUUACCAGAGUACUAUGAAUUAAGCAAUAUUUAAAACUCAAAGAGCUUGGCGGUGUUUUAGACUCUUUAGGGGAACCUGUCUCAUAAUCGACAAUCCACGCAAUACCUAACCUUUAUUAGUUUUCAGUUUGUAUACCGUCGUCGUCAGGUAACUUUUUAGAAAAAAGAAGUUAGCAGAAGAGCAAAAAUAAGCUCCUACGUCAGAUCAAGGUGCAGCUUAUGUAAAGGAGAGGAUGGGUUACAAUUAUAAUAAUCAUAAUUACGGAAUAACUGGAUUAAAUACCGGUAGAUGAAGGAGGACUUAAAAGUAAAAUAAAAUAUAUAAGUAUAUUGAAUCGAGCUCUGAAACGUGC
RNAcentral lists this ribosomal RNA (549 nucleotides) under Pinaxia versicolor. Its description in RNAcentral is "partial 12S ribosomal RNA". It matches the Rfam family "Bacterial small subunit ribosomal RNA", at positions 598 to 1384 of the family's 1533-position model. The record is from RNAcentral. Lineage: Eukaryota; Metazoa; Mollusca; Gastropoda; Neogastropoda; Muricidae.